AGAGUUUGAUCCUGGCUCAGAUUGAACGCUGGCGGCAUGCUUUACACAUGCAAGUCGAACGGCAGCACAGGGAGCUUGCUCCCGGGUGGCGAGUGGCGCACGGGUGAGUAAUACAUCGGAACGUGUCCUGUUGUGGGGGAUAACUGCUCGAAAGGGUGGCUAAUACCGCAUGAGACCUGAGGGUGAAAGCGGGGGAUCGCAAGACCUCGCGCAAUUGGAGCGGCCGAUGCCCGAUUAGCUAGUUGGUGAGGUAAAGGCUCACCAAGGCGACGAUCGGUAGCUGGUCUGAGAGGACGACCAGCCACACUGGGACUGAGACACGGCCCAGACUCCUACGGGAGGCAGCAGUGGGGAAUUUUGGACAAUGGGGGCAACCCUGAUCCAGCCAUGCCGCGUGCAGGAUGAAGGCCUUCGGGUUGUAAACUGCUUUUGUCAGGGACGAAAAGGACCGUGUUAAUACCAUGGUCUGCUGACGGUACCUGAAGAAUAAGCACCGGCUAACUACGUGCCAGCAGCCGCGGU
Molecule: ribosomal RNA, 522 nt
Filed under: uncultured beta proteobacterium
Lineage: Bacteria; Pseudomonadati; Pseudomonadota; Betaproteobacteria
Description: bacterial SSU rRNA
Rfam family: Bacterial small subunit ribosomal RNA
Source: RNAcentral